GUGCUGGCUUCGGCAGCACAUAUACUAAAAUUGGAAUGAUACAGAGGAGAUUAGCAUGGCCCCUGUGCAAGAAUGAAGUGCAAAUUCAUGAAGUGUUCCGUAUUUUU
Small nuclear RNA from Loxodonta africana (African savanna elephant), 107 nucleotides. NCBI's taxonomy places the organism in Eukaryota, Metazoa, Chordata, Mammalia, Proboscidea, Elephantidae. The record is from Ensembl.